This 505-nucleotide long non-coding RNA is filed under the name Panax ginseng (ginseng). RNAcentral's name for it is "long non-coding RNA (PGIN_LNC006894)". Lineage: Eukaryota; Viridiplantae; Streptophyta; Magnoliopsida; Apiales; Araliaceae. The record is from RNAcentral.
UACCUUUGAAUGCACUGAGUUGGAUUUUUCUUGAUGCUGGAAGGGCCAUAUACAGAGAGUUACAUUCUCACAUUGUUGAGAAGUUAAUCUAUGUGAUUCCUAUGGGACAUUUUCAGUUGGCGACUCUUCUCCUAAAUGCUCUUGAUAAAAGAGUGAAUUAUAGAAGGAGUUUACUGUCAGGUUGCUGCCUCUUCUUCUCUUUGUUAUGUGAUUCCUAUAUGGGACCUUGUUAGUUUCUUAUAUGUUUCAUUUGCACUUCUGUCUAUUAUUAUCCAUUUCUGGUGUGGUAAACUUAAGAACUACAAUAAAUUUUUAUAGGGUGCAUGUAUAUGUGAAGUUUCAGGCAUAAGUUGUUGGAGUUCGGGUCAGUGCGUAGAGAAUGCUGAAAAUGUUUUGGAUGACAAGGACAGUAAGCAGCCGGAUAAGGAAUAAGGAAGGUGGCAAGUUUCUAGUACUAUGGUUAGAUUACUAUCAUAGGUCUCUGCCUUGUCCUGCUUCAUAGGAA